RNAcentral lists this ribosomal RNA (850 nucleotides) under Levilactobacillus brevis. RNAcentral describes it as "bacterial SSU rRNA". It matches the Rfam family "Bacterial small subunit ribosomal RNA", at positions 30 to 845 of the family's 1533-position model. The record is from RNAcentral. Lineage: Bacteria; Bacillati; Bacillota; Bacilli; Lactobacillales; Lactobacillaceae.
CGAACGCUGGCGGCAUGCCUAAUACAUGCAAGUCGAACGAGCUUCCGUUGAAUGACGUGCUUGCACUGAUUUUAACAAUGAAGCGAGUGGCGAACUGGUGAGUAACACGUGGGAAAUCUGCCCAGAAGCAGGGGAUAACACUUGGAAACAGGUGCUAAUACCGUAUAACAACAAAAUCCGCAUGGAUUUUGUUUGAAAGGUGGCUUCGGCUAUCACUUCUGGAUGAUCCCGCGGCGUAUUAGUUAGUUGGUGAGGUAAAGGCCCACCAAGACGAUGAUACGUAGCCGACCUGAGAGGGUAAUCGGCCACAUUGGGACUGAGACACGGCCCAAACUCCUACGGGAGGCAGCAGUAGGGAAUCUUCCACAAUGGACGAAAGUCUGAUGGAGCAAUGCCGCGUGAGUGAAGAAGGGUUUCGGCUCGUAAAACUCUGUUGUUAAAGAAGAACACCUUUGAGAGUAACUGUUCAAGGGUUGACGGUAUUUAACCAGAAAGCCACGGCUAACUACGUGCCAGCAGCCGCGGUAAUACGUAGGUGGCAAGCGUUGUCCGGAUUUAUUGGGCGUAAAGCGAGCGCAGGCGGUUUUUUAAGUCUGAUGUGAAAGCCUUCGGCUUAACCGGAGAAGUGCAUCGGAAACUGGGAGACUUGAGUGCAGAAGAGGACAGUGGAACUCCAUGUGUAGCGGUGGAAUGCGUAGAUAUAUGGAAGAACACCAGUGGCGAAGGCGGCUGUCUAGUCUGUAACUGACGCUGAGGCUCGAAAGCAUGGGUAGCGAACAGGAUUAGAUACCCUGGUAGUCCAUGCCGUAAACGAUGAGUGCUAAGUGUUGGAGGGUUUCCGCCCUGGGGG